This is a long non-coding RNA of Sinocyclocheilus anshuiensis, 279 nucleotides long. RefSeq lists it as uncharacterized. The transcript is spliced from 3 exons. The record is from RefSeq and is a predicted model, not a curated record. NCBI's taxonomy places the organism in Eukaryota, Metazoa, Chordata, Actinopteri, Cypriniformes, Cyprinidae.
UGUUUCUGUGGUCUCUUCAUCCUCAGUGACCCCAGAGCCAGUGAGAACAUCUAGAGAAACACCAAAAGACACUGAGGAUGGACCUACAAUCCCCUGGAACGACCUGGAUUGCUCAGGGACAUACUGGUGGUUUUGAACCAGCAACCUUCUGCUCACCAGUUCAGUGGUUUAGCCCACUACAAAAGUAGUCAUGUUCAUGGAGAGCAGACACACAAAUGUUUGGAGCAGACACAGUGGCAGCCAGAUUGUUCCGCAUGUGUUCCCCUGCUCUUGCUUCUA